AGGGUAGCGAGGGGAUAAAAUUGUUCUUAUUGCUGUCUGGGUUAGCAUUUACUCAGCCUGUGAGGUCAGAAAGAGCCUUGUGAUAAUGGCACCCAUCUAAGUGAAAAUAAUUUGAAUUUUCAGCAGAAAAAGGAGUGGAAGACUGGAUAGGUCUAUUUGCAGACUAACUUUACGGUGUGACAUCUUUGUUGUUAGAAAAACCAAUAUUUUUCGAGAUUCUAUCUUUGAUGUUCAUGCCAAAUUUCUAUUCAUCUAGUGCAGAAACUCCUCUUUGCAAUAAUCUUCUCUUUUUUCAAGUUGAACUUGGUAGACCAUCACUGUUCUACCAUUUUCAAAAUAAUUCUAAGAAGCUGUUGUACAGAAAUGUCAGAGGAAAUUCCUAAAAGAAAAAAAAAAACAAACCCACAAAAAACAAACAAACAAACAAACAAACCUGGUCAAAGGAGAGAGUUCUGCAAUCCCCAUAACACAAGGAGAUAGGAAUGGGAUUGAUCCCCUUUGGAUAGUGUUGGUCACUCUGGUACUAGCACGUAAAGAUGUAGUUUGGAAGUGACUUGACGUACUUUUGGCAGGAGGCCAAAGCAGAUCAGAAUCAACAUCCAGAAGAAAAUGCCAAAUACAAGAAAAUAACAGUGACUUAAUAUGAUUUAAUAUCAAUAAAUUGUUUGAGGUCUAUCCAUCACAGCCUGGACUGAAACACUGCUUUUUCUUCAUAUCAUGGAGCCAAACUGUUGAGGAAGGUUCACCACAGAAGACCUACUUACCCUGUUCAAAGACCAGUUCCUCCUGUUUUUUACAAUUUCC
This is a long non-coding RNA of Empidonax traillii (willow flycatcher), 804 nucleotides long. RefSeq lists it as uncharacterized. Lineage: Eukaryota; Metazoa; Chordata; Aves; Passeriformes; Tyrannidae. The record is from RefSeq and is a predicted model, not a curated record. The transcript is spliced from 3 exons.